AAGAAGGUGUUCUUUACUGUGUUUGAUGUAUAAUGAAUUCAAAAUGCCAAAACCAUUUCAUUCUUCAAACAGUUGUUUUUCAAUUAAUUAAGAACACUUUUAAAAAAAAAUAGGGAGGUUAAGUUUAUAACCCAUUAUGUGAUAAGUAGGAGAAAUGAGGAAGAAGAUUUAAAAAAAGAAGAUUCCCAAAACAAUGGUGGGGUGUUGUGAAAUAAUCCUCUCGACUCACCUGAUAUUUCAGGUAUUUCAUCAGUAAUAAACAAGUAAACUUAAAACUACAAGUUGAUGCCUACAGUCACACUAUUUAAAUUUUUUGUAACUCCUCCCCUACAACUCAGCCCCCAUUCGCUGGCUACUUUCAUCAGCACACAAAAGACUGAACCAGUCUGCUGCGGAUCACAAGGCAAAGCAAGUUACAAUCAAAAUCCAAUAAACCGAACAAUGGAUCUCAGCCAGUUUUCCAGUCAGCCUCCAGAAGCCUACAAUUCAUCUAAGAAAUCAGGGAUGCCAGCAGCGCCACCACCAGCAUACCAGCACAAUCCUGCUGGAUAUCCUCCCACCUUUCUGAAUCAGCCGGUCCCCCAGGGCCCGUACACCCAGGGGCCAUAUCCAGGACAGUCUGUGGUCACUGUACAGCCUGUUGUUUUUGUGACCGCCGCUCCACUGGCCAAUCCAGUGCCAGAUUACCUGGCCUAUUCCAUCUUCACCAUGCUGUGCUGCUGCUUUCCUCUGGGCGUUGCUGCACUGAUUUACUCCAUCUCUACUCGAGAUGCCAACAACUCAGGACAGCGAGAAUUAGCAGAGAAGAACUCCAAAACUGCACGCACCCUGAAUCAUGUCGCCCUUGGUAUUGGCCUCGUUGUCAUUGUAGUGAUCAUCAUCAGCCAGAUUGUGAUUCGGACUGCUAGAUAA
This 912-nucleotide long non-coding RNA is filed under the name Carassius auratus (goldfish). Its description in RNAcentral is "lncRNA (ENSCARG00000002933.1)". The record is from RNAcentral. Lineage: Eukaryota; Metazoa; Chordata; Actinopteri; Cypriniformes; Cyprinidae.